CAGCCGCCACGGGAAUACGUAGGGUGCAAGCGUUAAUCGGAAUUACUGGGCGUAAAGCGCACGUAGGCGGAUCGAUCAGUCAGGGGUGAAAUCCUGGAGCUCAACUCCAGAACUGCCUUUGAUACUGUCGAUCUCGAGUCCGGAAGAGGUGAGUGGAACUCCUAGUGUAGAGGUGGAAUUCGUAGAUAUUAGGAAGAACACCAGUGGCGAAGGCGGCUCACUGGUCCGGUACUGACGCUGAGGUGCGAAAGCGUGGGGAGCAAACAGGAUUAGAGACCCCAGUAGUCCCUGUCUCUUAUAC
This 301-nucleotide ribosomal RNA is filed under the name uncultured bacterium. RNAcentral describes it as "partial 16S ribosomal RNA". It matches the Rfam family "Bacterial small subunit ribosomal RNA", at positions 509 to 807 of the family's 1533-position model. The record is from RNAcentral.